This 72-nucleotide transfer RNA is filed under the name Pangasianodon hypophthalmus (striped catfish). RNAcentral describes it as "tRNA-Glu". The record is from RNAcentral. Lineage: Eukaryota; Metazoa; Chordata; Actinopteri; Siluriformes; Pangasiidae.
UCCCUGAAGGACUAGUGGUUAGGCCACAGAGCUCUCACUGCUACAGCCCGGGUUCGAUUCCCGGCCAUGGAA